This 273-nucleotide ribosomal RNA is filed under the name uncultured prokaryote. RNAcentral's name for it is "partial 16S ribosomal RNA". It matches the Rfam family "Bacterial small subunit ribosomal RNA", at positions 524 to 796 of the family's 1533-position model. The record is from RNAcentral.
UACGUAGGGGGCAAGCGUUACUCGGAUUUACUGGGCGUAAAGAGAGUUAAGGCGGCUGAGUAAGUCGGAGGUGAAAUCCCUCGGCCUAACCGAGGAACUGCCUUCGAUACUGCUUGGCUUGAGGACAGGAGAGGAAAGUGGAAUUCCCGGUGUAGCGGUGGAAUGCGUAGAUAUCGGGAGGAACACCAGAGGCGAAGGCGGCUUUCUGGACUGCUCCUGACGCUGAUACUCGAAAGCUAGGGGAGCAAACAGGAUUAGAAACCCUCGUAGUCC